AUUCUUAUGUCCACCACUGAGACCCGAAAACCUCCACUGACUGGCUUCCCUACAGACUGAGAAUAUGGCAGAAAAGCUUAUAAAUCACAGCUGCCCAUUGUCCAAUCAACAUUCAACAGUGGUUCUUUUGAAAGUGACUGUGAAGAUCUGAAACUCUCAAGGAAACACAGAGAAAUGGAUUACCAGCCACUCCAAAAGGUCGCCGCAACCCCGAGGAAACCACUGUAUAAUCAGAAACAACAAGCCUGCCCAACAAGCAGCUGCAGGACUUUAGGAAGUUUUCUAUGUUCUCAAGAAAUGAACGUACCGACUUCCUUCCAGAGCCCUGGCUUGGUGAUAAUAACAUUAGCAUAUGAGAAAUCAACAUUCUGAAUAGAAAUACAAGCUUAACAAAAGGUAAUCUUCUGCAAAUAUGAAUUUAUGUGCAAAGAAAUGCCCUGAGGGAAUACGAAAUGGAAGAUGUCAGAGCUUCAACCUCUCUGCAUUAAUAAGAGUUCUUCUGUGAUCAGGAGAACUGGACAAUUGCACACGAAGCUGGAAUGUAAAAUAUUUCCCUAUCCCUGUCA
This 566-nucleotide non-coding RNA is filed under the name Pongo abelii (Sumatran orangutan). Lineage: Eukaryota; Metazoa; Chordata; Mammalia; Primates; Hominidae. The record is from RNAcentral.